RNAcentral lists this unclassified non-coding RNA (379 nucleotides) under uncultured Alphaproteobacteria bacterium. Its description in RNAcentral is "contains 16S-23S intergenic spacer region". The record is from RNAcentral. Lineage: Bacteria; Pseudomonadati; Pseudomonadota; Alphaproteobacteria.
UCCGGCUUAUCACCGGCAGUUUCCUUAAAGUGCCCAACUAAAUGAUGGCAACUAAGGACGAGGGUUGCGCUCGUUGCGGGACUUAACCCAACAUCUCACGACACGAGCUGACGACAGCCAUGCAGCACCUGUCACUAGGUCCCCGAAGGGAGGAAAUCUGUCUCCAGAAGUCGUCCUAGGAUGUCAAAGGCUGGUAAGGUUCUGCGCGUUGCUUCGAAUUAAACCACAUGCACCACCGCUUGUGCGGGCCCCCGUCAAUUCCUUUGAGUUUCAGCCUUGCGGCCGUACUCCCCAGGCGGGGCACUUAAUGCGUUAGCGCCGGCACCCAGGGGGUCGCUCCCCCAGGCACCUAGUGCCCAUCGUUUACGGCGUGGACUAC